Molecule: ribosomal RNA, 545 nt
Filed under: uncultured bacterium
Lineage: Bacteria
Description: bacterial SSU rRNA
Rfam family: Bacterial small subunit ribosomal RNA
Source: RNAcentral
AAUAGAUACCCUGGUAGUCCACGCCGUAAACGAUGAGUGCUAAGUGUUGGGGGGUUUCCGCCCCUCAGUGCUGCGGCUAACGCAUUAAGCACUCCGCCUGGGGAGUACGGUCGCAAGACUGAAACUCAAAGGAAUUGACGGGGGCCCGCACAAGCGGUGGAGCAUGUGGUUUAAUUCGAAGCAACGCGAAGAACCUUACCAGGUCUUGACAUCCCGGUGACCACUAUGGAGACAUAGUUUCCCCUUCGGGGGCAACGGUGACAGGUGGUGCAUGGUUGUCGUCAGCUCGUGUCGUGAGAUGUUGGGUUAAGUCCCGCAACGAGCGCAACCCUUAUUCUUAGUUGCCAUCAUUCAGUUGGGCACUCUAAGGAGACUGCCGGUGAUAAACCGGAGGAAGGUGGGGAUGACGUCAAAUCAUCAUGCCCCUUAUGACCUGGGCUACACACGUGCUACAAUGGACGGUACAAACGGUUGCCAACCCGCGAGGGGGAGCUAAUCCGAUAAAACCGUUCUCAGUUCGGAUUGUAGGCUGCAACUCGCCUACA